GGAAGGGAUUCGUGAGCCGGUGCUGCGCUCGGGCUUCAAACCCGGUGAGGGGCGUUAAACGUGCCUGGUGGGUUCAACUCCCACUCUCUUCCGCCA
RNAcentral lists this transfer RNA (96 nucleotides) under Alphaproteobacteria bacterium. RNAcentral's name for it is "tRNA-Sec". It matches the Rfam family "Selenocysteine transfer RNA". Lineage: Bacteria; Pseudomonadati; Pseudomonadota; Alphaproteobacteria. The record is from RNAcentral.